CCCAUCACCAUUCUUGGUACCGUGGUUACCACCCACAACUAAGUGAUGGAACAGAAUUCUACAUCAGUAUUAAGGCAAUUAACAAAGCUGGAAAAGAAACUGUUCAGGGAUUAGGACCGAUCUUAGUUCAUACUAUUCCCCCUACUGUUGGUGGUGAGGUAUUGGUUAAAUUUGAGGAUGAUAUAUUGGAGGCCUAUUGGUCAGCAGCAGUUGUAUCUGAUCCCGAGUCGUCGCAACUUACUUUUACAGCGGCCGUAGGUAGUUCACCAGGAACCGAAGACGUGUAUCCGUAUUCUUCAUUAUCGUUUGGCGGAAUCUGCACGUUAGCUAACCCACUAACCUGUACAGCUUUUUCCAUGGAGGAUCUUCAUUGGGAUUUACAUCACAACUUUACCUACUAUGUAUCUAUAAGAGUAGAGAAUAUAGUAGGAUU
Patella vulgata (common limpet) is the source of this 433-nucleotide long non-coding RNA. RefSeq lists it as uncharacterized. The transcript is spliced from 3 exons. The record is from RefSeq and is a predicted model, not a curated record. Lineage: Eukaryota; Metazoa; Mollusca; Gastropoda; Patellidae.